GAAAUGCGAUAAGUAGUGUGAAUUGCAGAAUUCAGUGAAUCAUCGAAUCUUUGAACGUACAUUGCGCCCUUUGGUAUUCCUUAGGGCAUGCCUGUUCGAGCGUCAUCUAAACCUUCAAGCCCUGCUUGGUGUUGGGUGCCUGUCCCGCCUCCGCGCGCGGACUCACCUCAAAUCCAUUGGCGGCCCCCGCGUCGGCCACGAGCGCAGCAGAAACGCGAACUCGUGAGCCCGUCCGGGCGGCUCCCAGAAGCUACACCCACCCAGUUUGACCUCGGAUCAGGUAGGGAUACCCGCUGAACUUAAGC
RNAcentral lists this unclassified non-coding RNA (305 nucleotides) under plant metagenome. RNAcentral's name for it is "partial contains 5.8S ribosomal RNA, internal transcribed spacer 2, and large subunit ribosomal RNA". The stretch from base 1 to 105 matches the Rfam family "5.8S ribosomal RNA", at positions 50 to 154 of the family's 154-position model. The record is from RNAcentral.